This 366-nucleotide ribosomal RNA is filed under the name Nematostella vectensis (starlet sea anemone). RNAcentral's name for it is "Eukaryotic large subunit ribosomal RNA". It matches the Rfam family "Eukaryotic large subunit ribosomal RNA", at positions 2425 to 2789 of the family's 3401-position model. Lineage: Eukaryota; Metazoa; Cnidaria; Anthozoa; Actiniaria; Edwardsiidae. The record is from Rfam by way of RNAcentral.
ACUCUAGUCUGACUCUGUGAAAAGACAUGAGAGGUGUAGAAUAAGUGGGAGUAGCAAUACGUCGGUGAAAUACCACUACUCUUAUCGUUUUUUUACUUAUUCGAUGAAGCGGAAGCGAACCGCAAGGUUCACGUUCUGGAUUUAAGGUCUCUCUUUUGCAGACCGAUCCGUGUCGAAGACACUGUCAGGUUGGGAGUUUGGCUGGGGCGGCACAUCUGUCAAACGAUAACGCAGGUGUCCUAAGGUGAGCUCAAUGAGAACAGAAAUCUCAUGUAGAACAAAAGGGUAAAAGCUCACUUGAUUUUGAUUUUCAGUAUGAAUACAAACUGUGAAAGCAUGGCCUAUCGAUCCUUUNNNNNNNNNNNN